This 440-nucleotide ribosomal RNA is filed under the name uncultured bacterium. Its description in RNAcentral is "partial 16S ribosomal RNA". It matches the Rfam family "Bacterial small subunit ribosomal RNA", at positions 338 to 795 of the family's 1533-position model. The record is from RNAcentral.
CCUACGGGUGGCAGCAGUGGGGAAUUUUGCGCAAUGCUCGUAAGCGUGACGCAGCGACGCCGCGUGAGUGAAGAAGUAUUUCGGUACGUAAAGCUCUAUCAGCAGGGAAGAAAAUGACGGUACCUGACUAAGAAGCCCCGGCUAACUACGUGCCAGCAGCCGCGGUAAUACGUAGGGGGCAAGCGUUAUCCGGAUUUACUGGGUGUAAAGGGAGCGUAGACGGCAGCGCAAGUCUGGAGUGAAAUCCCAGGGCGUAACCAUGGAACUGCUUUGGAAACUGUGCAGCUAGAGUGCAGGAGAGGUAAGCGGAAUGACUAGUGUAGCGGUGAAAUGCGUAGAUAUUAGGAGGAACACCAGUGGCGAAGGCGGCUUACUGGACUGUAACUGACGUUGAGGCUCGAAAGCGUGGGGAGCAAACAGGAUUAGAUACCCCAGUAGUC